This is a long non-coding RNA of Monodelphis domestica (gray short-tailed opossum), 312 nucleotides long. RefSeq lists it as uncharacterized. Lineage: Eukaryota; Metazoa; Chordata; Mammalia; Didelphimorphia; Didelphidae. The record is from RefSeq and is a predicted model, not a curated record.
GACUGGAAAGCGGUUGGUCUUUCAUUCGGGAGAAGCUGGAGAGAGAAGCUUAUUACUAUUAAAACUUCUAUGGAGAUCACAUGAAGAGGGAAGCGGAGGAUCUUUUUAUGUGUAAUAUUUGUAUGGAGCCACCAUAUGUGAAGCUCGGAUGGAAAGAUUCUGACAGAGGACUGAUUGGUUCCAACACUGAUUUCUGAGAAGAUUGGACUGAGAAAUUCAAAAGAAACAGAAGACAGAAUAAACCCCUGCUCACAAGAGGUUUACAGUCCCCUCUUGUAAAGAUCCACUUGAAUAAACACAAUUUGCAGAUGA